Molecule: microRNA precursor, 128 nt
Filed under: Linum usitatissimum (flax)
Lineage: Eukaryota; Viridiplantae; Streptophyta; Magnoliopsida; Malpighiales; Linaceae
Description: miR164c stem-loop (lus-MIR164c)
Gene: lus-MIR164c
Rfam family: MIR164 microRNA precursor family (bases 11-111)
Source: miRBase by way of RNAcentral
ACAGGUGGGCGUGAGCAUGAUGGAGAAGCAGGGCACGUGCAUUACUAACUCGUGGGUUUUGCUCCGGAUCGAGUUAGUGGUUCAUGUGCCCAUCUUCCCCAUCGUGAAACCGUUGCACUUUACUCUGU